This 382-nucleotide unclassified non-coding RNA is filed under the name uncultured bacterium. RNAcentral describes it as "contains 16S-23S intergenic spacer region". The record is from RNAcentral.
UCCUGGUUUCCCAGGCAGUCCCAUCAGAGUGCUUCCGAAGAAUAGCAACUGACAGCAAGGGUUGCGCUCGUUAUAGGACUUAACCCAACAUCUCACGACACGAGCUGACGACAGCCAUGCAGCACCUGUGUAUCUGUUUAGAGUAAACUCUAAAAAACUGUAUUUCUACAGCGGUCAAAUACAUGUCAAACCUAGGUAAGGUUUCUCGCGUAGUGUCGAAUUAAACCACAUGUUCCACCGCUUGUGCGGACCCCCGUCAAUUCCUUUGAGUUUUAAUCUUGCGACCGUACUUCCCAGGCGGAUCACUUAACGCGUUAGCUGCGACACUAAUUCUGCUAAGCAGAACUAACGUCUAGUGAUCAUCGUUUACAGCGUGGACUAC